RNAcentral lists this ribosomal RNA (495 nucleotides) under uncultured bacterium. RNAcentral's name for it is "bacterial SSU rRNA". It matches the Rfam family "Bacterial small subunit ribosomal RNA", at positions 21 to 507 of the family's 1533-position model. The record is from RNAcentral.
GGCUCAGGAUGAACGCUAGCUACAGGCUUAACACAUGCAAGUCGAGGGCAGCGGAUUGAAGCUUGCUUCAAUUGCCGGCGACCGGCGCACGGGUGAGUAACGCGUAUCCAACCUUCCGUACACUCAGGGAUAGCCUUUCGAAAGAAAGAUUAAUACCUGAUGGUAUGAUGAGAUCGCAUGGUAUCAUCAUUAAAGAUUUAUCAGUAAAGGAUGGGGAUGCGUCCCAUUAGCUGGUUGGUGGGGUAACGGCCCACCAAGGCGACGAUGGGUAGGGGUUCUGAGAGGAAGGUCCCCCACAUUGGAACUGAGACACGGUCCAAACUCCUACGGGAGGCAGCAGUGAGGAAUAUUGGUCAAUGGGCGCGAGCCUGAACCAGCCAAGUAGCGUGGAGGACGACGGCCCUACGGGUUGUAAACUCCUUUUAUAAGGGGAUAAAGUUGGCCAUGUAUGGCCAUUUGCAGGUACCUUAUGAAUAAGCAUCGGCUAAUUCCGUG